GGGAGUCGUUGCUCGCCAUAGAUGUAGCUUGUGACAAAGUGGCUGGACCCAGGCAGGAUUUUAUUGUUUGAUGAAGAUUCAUUGCCCUUGAUUCUUCUCCUUGGGCUUGUACUUAAUGAUGGUGAGAGAUGAGGAGGAUGAAGGGGAGGUGCAUACUCUUUUUCCUGAAUGACAAAGCUGGGAGCUGGCGAUGGCUUUGGGAAUAUGGGAAGUCAGUUUUCAGAAAGACAGAUAUGAAUCCAGGAAGCUGAAAGGGAACUCUUUCAGGCCAGGAUGGAGGAUACUCCCAGCAUCCCCUAUGGUCAGAUGCAUGGGUCCUUGGAGCACUCAGGGACCAGCCUUUCCAGUGUGUCCUGAAACCAGAAGCCCCAUGACACUGGCUCCUCUUUCACUGCUCUGGGAUUUCGGCUCUGGCCAAGGCAGGAACACCCAUGCUGCAGAGAAGCCUGAGAAGCCACAGCUAAGUGAGGCCAGUCCUGGAUCUCUGUGGGCCUCAAUCUCCUCACCUGAAACCUGGUGCAGGCAGGACCACCCCUUCGCUCCGUUGUCAAGGUCCAGAUGUCCCUGGUGUCCAACAGGGCUUGACUACAGCAGGCACUUAAUAUGUGCUAACUCCGUGCAUCCCCCCUCCUUUUUCCUAAGUGGAUUAUGCAUCUGCUCCUCAGGACUGAUCUUCAACCUGUCAGCUACUCCCCAGCAUCAUCCAAACUGCUCUGAAAACCACCUUUCCAAAAUGCAGAGCCAGCAGUGUCACUGCCCCACUCAAAAUGCUCUCAACAGCUCCCCACUGCCU
This 793-nucleotide unclassified non-coding RNA is filed under the name Homo sapiens (human). Its description in RNAcentral is "partial NAMA". The record is from RNAcentral. Lineage: Eukaryota; Metazoa; Chordata; Mammalia; Primates; Hominidae.